Molecule: non-coding RNA, 27 nt
Filed under: Bombyx mori (domestic silkworm)
Lineage: Eukaryota; Metazoa; Arthropoda; Insecta; Lepidoptera; Bombycidae
Source: RNAcentral
UACAUGGAUGAGCGCUGUGGCUAACAA